GACGAACCGUGCGAACGUUGUUCGGAAUCACUGGGCUUAAAGGGCGCGUAGGUGGUCUGCCAAGUCCGGGGUGAAAUCCUCCAGCUCAACUGGAGAAGUGCCUUGGAUACUGGCGGACUCGAGGGAGGCAGGGGUCGUGGGAACUUCCGGUGGAGCGGUGAAAUGCGUUGAUAUCGGAAGGAACGCCGGUGGCGAAAGCGCACGACUGGUCCUCUUCUGACACUGAGGCGCGAAAGCCAGGGGAGCAAACGGG
This 253-nucleotide ribosomal RNA is filed under the name uncultured bacterium. RNAcentral describes it as "partial 16S ribosomal RNA". It matches the Rfam family "Bacterial small subunit ribosomal RNA", at positions 524 to 776 of the family's 1533-position model. The record is from RNAcentral.